CGGACGGGUGAGUAACACGUGGGUAACCUGCCCAAGAGACUGGGAUAACACCUGGAAACAGAUGCUAAUACCGCAUAAGCGCACAGCUUCGCAUGAAGCGGUGUGAAAAACUCUGGUGGUAUACGAUGGUUCCGCGUCUGAUUAGCUAGUUGGUGGGGUAAUGGCCUACCAAGGCAACGAUCAGUAGCCGGCCUGAGAGGGUGAACGGCCACAUUGGGACUGAGACACGGCCCAAACUCCUACGGAAGGCAGCAG
This 255-nucleotide ribosomal RNA is filed under the name uncultured bacterium. Its description in RNAcentral is "partial 16S ribosomal RNA". It matches the Rfam family "Bacterial small subunit ribosomal RNA", at positions 99 to 354 of the family's 1533-position model. The record is from RNAcentral.